GACGGAAGGUGCAAGCGUGGCUCGGAAUCACUGGGCGUAAAGGGCUCGUAGGCGGCCAACUAAGUCGGACGUGAAAUCCCCAGGCUCAACCUGGGAACUGCGUCCGAGACUGGGAGGCUAGAAUCCGGGAGAGGGAUGUGGAAUUCCAGGUGUAGCGGUGAAAUGCGUAGAUAUCGGAAGGAACACCAGUGGCGAAAGCGGCUUCCUGGUCCAGCACCGACGUUCAGGCACGAAAGCGUGGGGAGCAAACAGG
RNAcentral lists this ribosomal RNA (253 nucleotides) under uncultured bacterium. RNAcentral's name for it is "partial 16S ribosomal RNA". It matches the Rfam family "Bacterial small subunit ribosomal RNA", at positions 524 to 776 of the family's 1533-position model. The record is from RNAcentral.